RNAcentral lists this transfer RNA (77 nucleotides) under Brucella anthropi. Its description in RNAcentral is "tRNA-Met". It matches the Rfam family "tRNA". Rfam says of the family: Transfer RNA (tRNA) molecules are approximately 80 nucleotides in length. Their secondary structure includes four short double-helical elements and three loops (D, anti-codon, and T loops). The record is from RNAcentral. Lineage: Bacteria; Pseudomonadati; Pseudomonadota; Alphaproteobacteria; Hyphomicrobiales; Brucellaceae. RNAcentral also lists the same sequence under 1 other name.
UGCGGAGUGGAGAAGUAGUUAUCUCGCCGGUCUCAUAAACCGGAGACCGUGGGUGCAAAUCCCACCUGCCGCAACCA